CACAGGGGAAGCUGAGACGGCACCCUGCACCGUGACACUCUGUCAGUUUUUGUUUCCUGUGGCAGCUGAUGUGGCUUCUCUAUACUCAAGCAGUGUGAGCAGUUCUAAAUACCCACAAGCUACAGGAAAAGAGAGAAGAGAAAGUUACCAAGUGAAGGAAAGAGGGCGAUGCAAGGAUGUUUUGUUUGGCCAACCUUCAGGCAAGAACUCCAGGAGCAGAGAAGACACAGAAACGGACUCAGACACCAUAUCGUUACGCCAUACUUUCACCCUGAGCUGAAGGAAAUGCCACUCUUUACACAUGAGGCUAGUACAACCACCUGAAUAUUUCUUAAGAGCUUAAUAGCAACCAGUUUGUCUGCAUUGUUUAUUUAGAUCAAAGAUUCCUAAACAUUUUUAUCAGUCAAACCCUAAAAUAUUUGCUUUAAUAUUUACCUUCAAAAAUGUUACGCAUUUGCAUUUUCAUGAUUCUUGUAUGUUAGUAAA
Long non-coding RNA from Carassius auratus (goldfish), 486 nucleotides. RefSeq lists it as uncharacterized. The transcript is spliced from 3 exons. The record is from RefSeq and is a predicted model, not a curated record. NCBI's taxonomy places the organism in Eukaryota, Metazoa, Chordata, Actinopteri, Cypriniformes, Cyprinidae.